AUUGAACGCUGGCGGCAUGCCUUACACAUGCAAGUCGAACGGCAGCACGGGUGCUUGCACCUGGUGGCGAGUGGCGAACGAGUGAGUAAUACAUCGGAACAUGUCCUGUAGUGGGGGAUAGCCCGGCGAAAGCCGGAUUAAUACCGCAUACGAUCUACGGAUGAAAGCGGGGGACCUUCGGGCCUCGCGCUAUAGGGUUGGCCGAUGGCUGAUUAGCUAGUUGGUGGGGUAAAGGCCUACCAAGGCGACGAUCAGUAGCUGGUCUGAGAGGACGGCCAGCCACACUGGGACUGAGACACGGCCCAGACUCCUACGGGAGGCAGCAGUGGGGAAUUUUGGACAAUGGGCGAAAGCCUGAUCCAGCAAUGCCGCGUGUGUGAAGAAGGCCUUCGGGUUGUAAAGCACUUUUGUCCGGAAAGAAAUCCUUGGCUCUAAUACAGUCGGGGGAUGACGGUACCGGAAGAAUAAGCACCGGCUAACUACGUG
RNAcentral lists this ribosomal RNA (486 nucleotides) under uncultured bacterium. RNAcentral's name for it is "partial 16S ribosomal RNA". It matches the Rfam family "Bacterial small subunit ribosomal RNA", at positions 30 to 507 of the family's 1533-position model. The record is from RNAcentral.